AAGAAAUUGCGAUACUCAGGACGGAGUAAAACCUGAGGACCAAAAAUGAACAAAGGGAGCGGGAGUUGGAUGUGGUGAGCAAGCCUCCGGAAUCGAGGAGGAAGCCUGAAGCAUCCACCAAAGCACCCACUUAGACGAAAGAGCUUAAGGGAUUCCGUACCUGGGAUCGCAACCCAUUC
This is a non-coding RNA of Nitrospirae bacterium RBG_13_41_22, 179 nucleotides long. NCBI's taxonomy places the organism in Bacteria, Pseudomonadati, Nitrospirota. The record is from Rfam.